GAUGAACGCUGGCGGCGUGCCUAAUACAUGCAAGUCGAGCGAACAGACGAGGAUCUUGCUCCUCUGACGUUAGCGGCGGACGGGUGAGUAACACGUGGAUAACCUCCCUAUAAGACUGGGAUAACUUCGGGAAACCGGAGCUAAUACCGGAUAACCUGUUGAACCGCAUGGUUCAACAGUGAAAGUCGGUCUUGCUGUCACUUAUAGAUGGUUCCGCGCCUCAUUAGCUGGUUGGUAUGGUAACGGCUUACCAAGGGAACGAUUCGUAGCCGACGUGAGAGGGUGAUCGGCCACCGUGGAAGUGAGACACGCACAAGAGUCCUGCGGUACGCCGCAGUAGGGAAUGGUCCGCAACGGGCGAGAGUCUGGCGGAGCGACGCCGCGUGAGUUAAGAAAAUGUUGCGUUCGUAAAGCUGUCUUAUUAGGGAAGAACCGAUGUGUAAGUAAAUGUGGCCGUCGUGACGGUACCUAGUAAGGAAGCACCGGCUAACUACGUG
This 497-nucleotide ribosomal RNA is filed under the name uncultured bacterium. Its description in RNAcentral is "partial 16S ribosomal RNA". It matches the Rfam family "Bacterial small subunit ribosomal RNA", at positions 28 to 507 of the family's 1533-position model. The record is from RNAcentral.